GAUGAACGCUGGCGGCGUGCCUAAUACAUGCAAGUCGAGCGAACGGACGAGAAGCUUGCUUCUCUGAUGUUAGCGGCGGACGGGUGAGUAACACGUGGAUAACCUACCUAUAAGACUGGGAUAACUUCGGGAAACCGGAGCUAAUACCGGAUAAUAUUUUGAACCGCAUGGUUCAAAAGUGAAAGACGGUCUUGCUGUCACUUAUAGAUGGAUCCGCGCUGCAUUAGCUAGUUGGUAAGGUAACGGCUUACCAAGGCAACGAUGCAUAGCCGACCUGGGAGGGUGAUCGGCCACACUGGAACUGAGCCACGGUCCAGACUCCUACGGGAGGCAGCAGUAGGGAAUCUUCCGCAAUGGGCGAAAGCCUGACGGAGCAACGCCGCGUGAGUGAUGAAGGUCUUCGGAUCGUAAAACUCUGUUAUUAGGGAAGAACAUAUGUGUAAGUAACUGUGCACAUCUUGACGGUACCUAAUCAGAAAGCCACGGCUAACUACGUG
RNAcentral lists this ribosomal RNA (497 nucleotides) under uncultured bacterium. RNAcentral describes it as "partial 16S ribosomal RNA". It matches the Rfam family "Bacterial small subunit ribosomal RNA", at positions 28 to 507 of the family's 1533-position model. The record is from RNAcentral.